UGGGGAAUUUUGGACAAUGGACGCAAGUCUGAUCCAGCCAUGCCGCGUGCGGGAAGAAGGCCUUCGGGUUGUAAACCGCUUUUGUCGGGGAAGAAACGAGUUUCUCUAAUACAGAGACUUAAUGACGGUACCUGAAGAAUAAGCACCGGCUAACUACGUGCCAGCAGCCGCGGUAAUACGUAGGGUGCGAGCGUUAAUCGGAAUUACUGGGCGUAAAGCGUGCGCAGGCGGUUAUAUAAGACAGAUGUGAAAUCCCCGGGCUCAACCUGGGAACUGCCUUUGUGACUGCAUAGCUAGAGUACGGUAGAGGGGGAUGGAAUUCCGCGUGUAGCAGUGAAAUGCGUAGAUAUGCGGAGGAACACCGAUGGCGAAGGCAAUCCCCUGGACCUGUACUGACGCUCAUGCACGAAAGCGUGGGGAGCAAACA
Molecule: ribosomal RNA, 427 nt
Filed under: uncultured bacterium
Lineage: Bacteria
Description: bacterial SSU rRNA
Rfam family: Bacterial small subunit ribosomal RNA
Source: RNAcentral